RNAcentral lists this ribosomal RNA (1166 nucleotides) under Triticum aestivum (bread wheat). RNAcentral describes it as "partial small subunit ribosomal RNA". The record is from RNAcentral. Lineage: Eukaryota; Viridiplantae; Streptophyta; Magnoliopsida; Poales; Poaceae.
AUAGAGGGGAGGAGAGGGAGAGAGGGGAGGAGAGGGAGGGAGGGUGCGUAGAGUGGGUGGCGGCGGGUUCGUGGGGCGGCGGGGCGGCUGCGGCUGCGGCCAGGGGCGGCGGACGAAGGCGGGCUGAAGCUAAGCGCUAACCUAACGGUUCCGGCGAGCGGCGGCGGCCUCCUCCAGCCCCUUUCCGUCGGUGGUCGGUUGGCAGGUGCGCUCCGCGCUGCCUCAAGGGCGAGGCGACGAACCUGGGCCUUGUCGUGCAUGGAUGCUCUAGCUGGCCGAGUGUCUCGCGCCGGUCUCGUCGAAGACAAGGGUGGUUGCGGCAUGGGACGCCGUCUUGUCGCGCGCUGCGGAAGCGGGACACGAGCACCGCUGCGGCCCGCUCGUCGGCUCGUGCGCGGGGACCGGGCCGGGGCGCCGUUCCGUUGUGGCGCCGACCAAAUAAGGAGCACCAGAGAGCGGUAUUACGAGGGAGGCGGAUCAGGUGCAGGUGACCAACGACGAGUAGUAGGGUCACGUACUGUCUUUUAUACACUUGCGGUAGGGUCCUGUCUCUUUCUCCGUGAUACCUGAUCCUAAUGAACGACCGAUGGUUGUUGACUUUUAUACUCCGUACCUAGCUGUACCUUUGUUCUCUUUCUUCUUUGUUUUUAUUCGUAAUAUCUGAUCUACUACUCUUGUCACCAAAGAGAGUCACGUUAUACGAAUCAACUACCUCGUACGAGGACCCUGUAUGGUCCGAUUUCACUACAAGGUCUCAUGUGUACCUUUCACUGAACUACCUUCAGUUGCUGUACAGGUACACGUUCUUCUUGCCGGUCUGGGGAAGCGGUUACAGUCAGUAACGAGGCCGCCCGUGCGCAUUGAGGGCUGUUCGUAGCUGGCUAGGAAGAGGCAGACGGUGACUGCGCUGGCCAGGAUGUGGAUGUGGAUGUGGAGGCACUACUGCUAAACGAAUUCUAGUGCCUUCGAACCCAACUACCUCACGAACAUAAAUCAAAAACAAAACUGGAACACUUUGAACGAUGGAUACCUACUUUGACACAUUAUAACUACUUUGAUACAUAUACAUGCCUACUUUGAACGAUGAUAACCAUUGUACAUAACCUAUAUACACAAGUACUGAUAACCAUUAUACACAACUUAUACGAUAUAACCAGUAUAUUUAU